This 253-nucleotide ribosomal RNA is filed under the name uncultured bacterium. RNAcentral's name for it is "partial 16S ribosomal RNA". It matches the Rfam family "Bacterial small subunit ribosomal RNA", at positions 524 to 776 of the family's 1533-position model. The record is from RNAcentral.
UACGAACUGUGCGAACAUUAUUCGGAAUCACUGGGCUUACAGGGUGCGUAGGCGGCUUGUUAAGUAGGGUGUGAAAGCCCCCGGCUCAACCGGGGAAUUGCGCCCUAAACUGGCGAGCUGGAGUGAGAUAGGGGUGUGUGGAACUUCCGGUGGAGCGGUGAAAUGUGUUGAUAUCGGAAGGAACGCCGGUGGCGAAGGCGACUCGCUGGACAGGUAUUGACGCUGAGGUGCGAAAGCGUGGGGAGCAAACAGG